This 253-nucleotide ribosomal RNA is filed under the name uncultured bacterium. RNAcentral describes it as "partial 16S ribosomal RNA". It matches the Rfam family "Bacterial small subunit ribosomal RNA", at positions 524 to 776 of the family's 1533-position model. The record is from RNAcentral.
UACAGAGGAGGCAAGCGUUGUUCGGAAUCACUGGGCUUAAAGCGCGUGUAGGCGGCCAUGCAAGUACUUUGUGAAAUCCCUCGGCUCAACCGGGGAAUUGCUUGGUAUACUGCAGGGCUUGAGGCGGGUAGGGGUGCUUGGAACUCUAGGUGGAGCGGUGAAAUGCGUAGAUAUCUAGAGGAACGCCUGUGGCGAAAGCGGAGCACUGGGCCCGUCCUGACGCUAAGACGCGAAAGCGUGGGGAGCAAACAGG